RNAcentral lists this small RNA (85 nucleotides) under Arabidopsis thaliana (thale cress). RNAcentral describes it as "ATSL206100". Lineage: Eukaryota; Viridiplantae; Streptophyta; Magnoliopsida; Brassicales; Brassicaceae. The record is from RNAcentral.
UUUCUAUGAAAAACUAUCCAGUUUAUGGGUUUUUUAAUGAAAAAUACACCUCUCUCUACUUUUAAUUAAAACUAUAAUUAUUUCU